Molecule: transfer RNA, 91 nt
Filed under: Bacillota bacterium
Lineage: Bacteria; Bacillati; Bacillota
Description: tRNA-Ser
Rfam family: tRNA
About the family: Transfer RNA (tRNA) molecules are approximately 80 nucleotides in length. Their secondary structure includes four short double-helical elements and three loops (D, anti-codon, and T loops).
Source: RNAcentral
GGAGAGGUGCCCGAGUGGUCGAAGGGGGCUGCCUGCUAAGCAGUUGUCUCCGCAUAGGGGACCCUGGGUUCGAAUCCCAGCCUCUCCGCCA